ACUAAUGCACCUAUCUCUGCAGCCAACUCCUUUAAGACUCAGUGGUGCAGACUAUCACAUCCAAGGGUCUUGUCAUAUUUUUUCAAGAGAAAGAGAUUGUUUUAAGUUCCUUCCUCCCUAAAACCACUUGAUAUCUGAUGUUUUGGAGAUUUUACCAUAAGACAAAUCUGAAGGCAAGAAUAGAAGAGUAACAAUUGAGGAUAUGAUGCUGCCUGACCUGCUGAGUUCCUUCAUCAUUGAGUGUGUGUUUUGGAUUUCUAGCACCUGCAGACAUUCUAGUGUUCAUCAUGUCUCUGGCUGAUACUGUCUGACCUGCAAAAUUCCUCCAGCAUUUUGCGUGUGUUGCUCUGGAAUUCCAGCAUCUGGAGAAACUCUGUGAUUAGAAAACAAAUUGUACAAGACAGUUCUUACACUACAGUCAGAGCUGCUCUUUCUAUGAUGCAAGGAAAUUAUGUAUUGACCCCAGUAGCUACCAAUUGAUUCCUCAAGUUGACAAUUACACUUCUGGCCAAUGACUGAAUCCUUUAGCAGAUGAUUGACAUCUCUAGUCACUGACUCAUUCUUCCAGCUGAUGAUUGGUUCCUGCAAAUGAUGAUUGAUGGCUCCAGCUGAUAACUAAUUCCUUCAGCUGUUGAUUGAACCUUCAGCAGUCAUUGACAGUCCCAUCUGAUGAAUGAUUCCUUCACCUGAUGAUUGGAUCCUACAGCUGAUGAUUGACACCCCCAGCGGUCAUUGACAGCUCCAGCUAACGACUGAUUCCGCCAGCUGUUGAUUGACGACUCAAGUAUGUGUAUACCCUCCAUGACUAACUCUUGCUGCUGAUCAUGAACUUCUGAGUGACUCUACCAACUGAUUGUUGAUUUUUCCAGCAGUUGAUUGAAUCUAGCAGCUGAUUUUGAUUCAUCCAUCUGAGGACUGAAUCCACCAACCAUAUGUAGACUGCAAUAGCUGAUGUCUCAGUCCCCAGACUGUUGAUUGAUUCCCUCAGUUACAGAUUGACUCCGUAAACUAUAGAUUGAAUCCAUCGAUUGACUCCUCCAGUAGAUUAUUGACUCCUCCAAUAGAUUAUUGAUUCCUGCUGUAAAUUAUAGUUCUGAUGUAGGGUCUCAGCUUGAAAUUUCAACUGUUUACUCUUUUCCAUAGAUGCUGCCUGACAUGCUGAGUUCCUCCAACAUUUUGUGUGUGUGUGUUGCUUGGAUUUCCAGCAUCUGCAGAUUUUCUCAUAUUUAUCUCCAACAGCACUUAUUUCAUUCUCAGCAAUACACACAAAGUGCUGGAGGAACUUAGAAGGUCAGGCAUCAUCUAUGCAAACGAAAAGUCCUGGAGAAGGGUCUUGGCCCGAGACAUCAGCUGUUUAUUCAUUUCAUUAGAUACUACCUGACCUGCUGAGUUCCUCCAGCCUUUCGUAUGUGUUUCUUUGGAUUUCCAGCAGCUGCAGAUUUUCUUGUGUUCUUGUGUUCAACCAAAUAAUCACCAACACCAAUAUCUGUUUGCAUCCACCCCAAGAGUUAACAGUUGGUCUGAUUAGUUCCACUGGCUGCUUCACUUUCACUUUGAGCUGUUAAGCUGCUGGUGAUAACUGAGCUCCUUGUCUUGGCCCCGAGCAACUGGAAAACAUAAUGCCAUUGAGUUCUCAAAGUGGACUAGCUGCAUAUUCUUCAAUAGGAUCAGCAGAAUUGUGUGUGGUUUAAUGAGGGGGAAGAGAUAAUAGAAGUUGCAGCUCAAUGACUAUUGAAGGAAACCUUCAGGACUUGAACCUCCAAGGCAACCAGAGUGAUGACUGGUGUUUGAACUUCCUAGCUGUUACACCACGGAAUGUCUUUCAUUAUCUGGAAAUAACUUCUCAAAUUCACCCUUUGAUUUUGCGUUGCAUGAGGAAACAAUGGCAGCAACCCAGAGACAAAAGUAGAUUGGGUAUUUUCUCUGUCAUUCAAUAAUUGUUAUUUAUUCACUUUAAUGAGAUUAUUGACUGUCUAGGGAAGGAUCUGAGACUAAUUAAAUGAAAUUACACCUGAAAAUCAGGACAGAUGAACCAUACAAUAACGAUUCUGUAUUAAGUCAUCUGUUUUGAGUCCAUUCUGUUGCCAUCAAAUAAACGUAGCAAAAAAAAAAUCAAAGACCUACUGUUCCAAACAGAAUCAAUUUUAAAACAUAAAACAUAGAAAUCUGGAAUGCACUACAGGCCCUUCAGCCCACAAUAUUGUGCCAAUCAUGUAACCUGCUCUAGAAACUGCCCAGAAUUUCCCUGCCGCAUAGCCCUCUAUUUUUCUAAGCUCCGUGUACCUAUCCAUGAGUCUUUUAAAGGACCCAAUUGUAUCCACCUCGACUACCAUCAUUGGCAGUGCAUUCCACACACCCACCACUCUUUUUGUGGAAAACUUAACCCUGACACCCACUUUGUACCAACUUCCAUCCAAGAACUUUAAAAAUAUGCCCCUAUGUCAUUUUCUAUGCCUCGAUUAUAAAUUGACCUAGCAAUUUUAUUGUAGUUAAUUAAUUCAUGUGCUCUUUAUUAUGAAAUUUAUCUCUAUCUCAGACAUCUUUCCAUCAAUAGAGAGAAGCAUUUCAUCCUUAUUAUAGAGAGUGGAUUUGAAUUAAAACUCAAUCUCAAAAAAUGCUUGGAAUUUCAUCAAAAUCUGAACAAGACAUCUUCCCAAAUUUGGAACCAUUUCUCAAGGCCAAUGAAGAAAAUAGACUGUAAUGUUUUGUUUCAUCAGAAUGGAUUUAAUUUUUGAAUUAACAUGAUUAAAAAUUGAAAGCGGUCUAUGCAGUUUCAGAAUUCUGGUGAUUAAAAUCAUUUCCUUGAGUCUUUUACUGAGAAAUUAUUAAAUGUGUCGCAAUAUUGAUUGAUUGCUCUGAAUGAGCUAUUUAAAGUCACAAGGACUACUGAUGAUAGUUUGAUGUAAUCAAAUUACAGCCCACUGAAGGGAUGAUCAAUAUAUUAUACCAUGGACACUGUAGAAUUUGAUUAGAAGUAGCACAAUUUACAAAGAUGUUUGAUUUUCAUGCAAGUCACCAACAACAGAAAGAUUAUAUUCCUUUAGCGAAUGUAAUCAUCUCCAAAUGAGAAAGUAAUGAAGAUCUAUCAUCAUUGUUUAUCAGAUUUUUCAAGGAGCUAUAGAGCAAUUAGACCUCAAGAGAUAGGAUCUAUGACCAGAAUUCUUUCUAUUCCUAUGUGCUAUUGAAAGAAGAAAAACUGUCUUUUUGUCAAACAGAUGAUUUUUUCAAAAGAUUGUGCAAUUUUGCAAAUCUGCUUUAAGUCUUGGUGAAAUUUGGAGAAAAGGAUUUGGUUUUAACACCCAGACAAUAUGUUGGAGAAGUAUGUGGUCUAUCAGGUCACAGAGAUGUCAGUAAGGACAAGGACUGAUAAAGCACCAUGAUGAUGGUUACCAUUAAUUGUUCCAUUGUGAAUGACCCUUAUUAGUUCAGUAUGCUAUGUGAGGAGGAUGCACUGAGAAUUUAGGGAGAUAGAGAUACUUUUGACAAAGGAGUUUCACCCUGAAAUAUAACUCUGCUUCUCUUCCCAUAGUUGUUGCCUGACCGGCAGAUAUUUCCAGAAUUCCACAUAAAGAUACGGUGUUAAAGAAUGUGACAGGCCUUCAUUGGUUGGUAUAAAGCUUCAGUUAGGCCACAUUUGGAGGAUUUGCAUCACAGGAAUGAUAUGGCAGUUUUUAAAGCGGGUGCAGAAGAGGUUUACCAGGAUGUUACUUGAAUUUGAAUGUAUUCACUGUAAAGAGAGAUUGGACAACAUAUUCAAAAUGCCAGAGGAAUUCAGCAGGCCAGGCAGCAUCUAUGGAAAAGCGUAAACAGUCAAUAUUUCGGGCCGUGACCCUUUAUCAAGACUUCUUUUCAUGACAGGCAUAUGAACAGGCAUUGGAAGGAGGGAUAUAGAUCAAGUGCAGGCAGAUGGGAUUCAUUUAAAUUUUUAUCAUGGUCAGCACAGUCAUAGUUGGCUGAAGAGUCUAUUCUUUUUCUGUACUGUUCUAUGUUGGAUAUGUUCUUAUUGAAUGAUUAAGAAUGCAUAAGGGUCUUGUGUUUACAUGUUCUUUAUUUAUCAGAUUAUAACCAAAUGAAAUAUAGCACCAUUAGUUCUGAAUGCACCAGGUUUUAUAUGAAUAUUUCUAGUUGCCUACUUUCCAAAGUGUUUGCUUUUUCAUUGGGUUUGUGCUCUUCCAAAUUGUUGAAAGCCUUGCUUUGUUCUGUAUCUCUAUUGCCUACACAUUUCUGCAUCCAGGAUAAUCUUAUUUCACCAAUUUCCUGUUGUGCAAUCCAGUAUAUGCUUUAGGUUAAAUAAUUGAUGCACGUCCCCUGAAUUCAACUGCAAUUUCGCACAACAUCUGGUGGACUUUAAUAGUACUGAAGAUACAAUGUUUUGGAAAUUAUGGACAAUCCACAGGGAAUGGAGACGACAACUUUACUGCAAGAGUGUCUAUUUUUUUAUAUAUUUUAUAGUCAUUGGAUCACUGGAUGUGUUUCUUUACUGGAUAUAAUUAAUGAAUAUCUCAUAAAAAGACAUACUUUUACUACACCUACAGGGCCUUCAAAAUCAAGGACUAGUCUUUGAAGAGCAAUAAUUCCUUUUUGUGCAGUGACUGCUGUAAUGUAUGGAAUACAGGAGACAAUUUCAGAACAGCAGGAACCCACGAAGAGUGAGAACUUAAAGAUGAGAUUUUUUUUUCAUAUAGUCAUACUGAGUAAGGAGUAAAUAUUGGCAGGGACACUGAGGACACCUCCCCUUAUUUGCUGUGAAAUUGUCUUGUGGGAUCUGUUGCACCCGACUGAGAAUCAAACAAGUUAACAUCAAAUCCAAAAGAUGGAGGGGCUUCUCUCCAACUGUGGCAUACUGUUAAUACUGUACUGGAUUGUCAGCAUGAUCUCCCCAGUACUGCAAGAAUCGUCAAUUCUUCCAAGAUUUUUUUUUACUUUGGCUUCUACAUUGCUCUGAAAAAGCAUAUUAUACUGUAAAUCUGGUCCUGGAACUAUGGUGUUAUUUUCCAGCAAGUGCACUACUUCAGUACUUAGUGAGUAAUGUCUUUCUUAACAUCUCUAUGGAUUUUACUUGAGAUUGCCCACUUUCAUUGUGCACACCAUCUCUCCGUUAAAAGAAUAGGAUACCUCUACAUGCUGUUCAAAAACAUAAAUGUGGUUCUGGAUGUGCACUUGAAUUUUGCACUGUUUCCACUACCAACACCAUCCCACCAUUCAGUUGAAAUAUUGCAUCUGUUCUAAUUGGGACCAGGAAGCAUUUGUUGCAUUAGUUCACAGCAACCCGUGUUAGUUUAGUUCCUUUUAUCACCCCUUUGAUCUAAUCUUUUCUGACAACUUCAACAGAAGCGUAAGAGGGGUAGUGUAACAUUAACAGCAGGGACACCACAAUGAGUAUCUUUUUGCUGCAUCUCAGAAUGAGGUAAUGCACGGCUAAUAUUACUGGUUGACAGAGUAACCUGUUGGCAUCAGGACAAAGAGUCUUAUAAAACAGUGAGCUAAAUGAGUGAUAUGCAUUACUGAGCGAUGUGUAUGAGAAACGUUCCAGUGAAUAUCAUUCAGUGCUCAUGAUUAUUUUAGAUUUAAAACUCUUGUUUCUGUUAAACUGAAUACUUCCACAGCACACAUAGAGUUUAGUACACUUCUAUAUUUAUCAAUUGCUUUCUACAUUUCAAGGUUGUUUCACAUUCAUUAAAACUGCAGAAGUAUAGAUUGAUACAUAAAAGGGUUGCUUUUUGUUAUGCUUAGUAUUGACUGAAUAGGUAGGUUAAGUAAAAAUCUAUCUAGAAAUCAACCUUGUUUUCAAAUGAGUGGAAUUUUGAUUUCAAGCCAACAAUGUACAUUAAAAAAAUCAUUGAUGCAGAUCUCCCUCCAGUAUUUCUCCUCUCUCUUACCAUUUCCCCAAAUUUUGAGUCCCAUGUCAGUUUGCACUGC
Molecule: long non-coding RNA, 5919 nt
Organism: Mobula hypostoma (lesser devil ray)
Lineage: Eukaryota; Metazoa; Chordata; Chondrichthyes; Myliobatiformes; Myliobatidae
Exons: 4
Source: RefSeq, a predicted model, not a curated record